UUAUCUCCCCCAAGAGUUCACAUCGACGGGGAGGUUUGGCACCUCGAUGUCGGCUCAUCGCAUCCUGGGGCUGAAUAGGGUCCCAAGGGUUUGGCUGUUCGCCAAUUAAAGCGGUACGUGAGCUGGGUUUAGAACGUCGUGAGACAGUUCGGUCCCUAUCCUAUGUGGGCGCAGGAUAUUUGAGAGGAGCUGCCUUCAGUACGAGAGGACCAGGGUGGACAGACCUCUAGUGUGCCAGUUGUCCCGCCAGGGGCAUCGCUGGGUAGCCACGUCUGGAAAGGAUAACCGCUGAAAGCAUCUAAGCGGGAAGCCUCCCUCAAGAUUAGAUAUCCCUCCCUUCGGGGAAUAAGACCCCUCGUAGACUACGAGGUUGAUAGGUCGGGUGUGGAAGCGCAGUAAUGCGUGCAGCUAACCGAUACUAAUAGGUCGAAAGGCUUGACCCC
RNAcentral lists this ribosomal RNA (443 nucleotides) under Candidatus Alcyoniella australis. RNAcentral describes it as "partial 23S ribosomal RNA". It matches the Rfam family "Bacterial large subunit ribosomal RNA", at positions 2483 to 2925 of the family's 2925-position model. The record is from RNAcentral. Lineage: Bacteria; Candidatus Lernaellota; Candidatus Lernaellaia; Candidatus Lernaellales; Candidatus Alcyoniellaceae.